AAAGGACGGGGUGGGACCCUGCUGACCUGUUUGAGGCUGGGGGAUGCCCUCAUUCCCCCGUGGGACCUCAUGUGGCCAUUCAGGGCAGGCAGGCUUUUGAACUCCUUCAGGCAGAUGGAGCAUGUCAGCUUGUUCUUGGCAUCAAACUGUUCCCCAAACACUCCUUUGGUUUGGCCGCUGUUGAAGGGUAGGGCCACACGGAAAGGACACACACAUCGAGGACGGGGAAACAAGAAUUUAUCACAAGGCAUCAAACCUACAAUGAGAUCAUUUUGUUUAUCUAAUCUACCACUGUCUGUGGCUUUGAUUAUCUGCCAGAUGACCAAGCCCAAAGUACAGAUGGAGAAACUGAGGCUCAGGGAGCAAAGGCUUGCUUUCUUUAAAAAAAAAAA
Molecule: long non-coding RNA, 392 nt
Filed under: Rattus norvegicus (Norway rat)
Lineage: Eukaryota; Metazoa; Chordata; Mammalia; Rodentia; Muridae
Description: long non-coding RNA NONRATT029171
Source: RNAcentral